Long non-coding RNA from Onychostoma macrolepis, 616 nucleotides. RefSeq lists it as uncharacterized. The transcript is spliced from 3 exons. The record is from RefSeq and is a predicted model, not a curated record. NCBI's taxonomy places the organism in Eukaryota, Metazoa, Chordata, Actinopteri, Cypriniformes, Cyprinidae.
UGUUUUUAGAACUGAGGAAGGUGUUUGGAUAGACACUGAAACGUCUUAAUUUAUAGUCCAGUGAUUUAAAUGAGUUUCUUUUUUUCUUUUCUUUUUUUUAAUGUUUUAUUACCUGGAAGAUUUAGUUAUGAAUAAGCAGUACACAGACACACUGAUUUAGAUAUCUCCCUGUUUAACAAUAGCAAACUAGUGCUUUGUAGUCAUUAAUCCAGAGAGAGGAACAAAGAAGUUGAAAGGAAAAGUGCCAUCGAAAACAAAAGGGCAAAUGCCACUCUUUGCAUCCUGUGAUGGAACAGCAUCGGGAGCUGAACUGUUCUCCUUUUGUUGAUCUGAAGUUUUGUUGGAGUCACUUGGGGCCUUGUUGUUUGGACAUGUUGGACUGUUCAUGAAGUGGUGAAAAUUCAUCAGUGUCUUUGUGGUUUUUAGAACUAUUUAAUUAUGACCAUGUUUGUUAACUUGUGGUUUUAAAGUUAUGCAUGGUAAUAUGUUUCAAGUUAUUUAAUAUUAUUUAAUUUCUUGGUAAUAUGUUUCAUGUUAUUUUGUAAUUCAAAAUAAUACUAAAUACACGUGACAUUUCUUUCAUGCAAAUUUGAGUUAUUUAUUAAAUAAAUUUUGA